This is a non-coding RNA of Marmota flaviventris (yellow-bellied marmot), 2266 nucleotides long. The record is from RefSeq and is a predicted model, not a curated record. NCBI's taxonomy places the organism in Eukaryota, Metazoa, Chordata, Mammalia, Rodentia, Sciuridae.
AGGGAGCUGGCUUCCUGGGGCCUGCCUCAGCACAGUCCAACCUGUGAGGCUGAGUAUGGAUGGACCCUGGCCUGGUGGCAAGACGGGAGCAGAGACUUUGCUGGCGAAGGGGUGUUGCUUAUGCAAUGGGCAACUCCUACAUCUAGCAAGAAGAAAAACUGAUGGCUGGUGUGUAGUCAUGGUGAAGAAGGUGGAGUGGGGCAAAGGUGGUCAAGGUCAGGAACAGUGCACGAGCAACUGCUCAGCCCUUGGAAGUGGACUGGUGGACUGGCAUUAUCAGGAACGUGUCUGCUUUAGGUUUGCUGGCCAACAGCAGAGGCUUCCAAAGAACCAGGGCUCAGAGUCAUGCCCGAAGGUAGCUCGCCCGCGUGCCCGCUCCUCACCAUAUUCCCUUCUCUGCCUCUCUGCCGAGCUUCCUCUAUGAGGCUGAUCUGGAGCCACCAGGAUCUUCUUACUCCGGCCUAGUCUUUCCAGCCACUCCAGCUGGAAAGUGGAGCUGGGACUUGCAAGGCCAUGCAUACCAGAGGGUGAGAGUUUAGAAUUUCAAAUUCAACGGAAAGCAGCUGAGAGCUCUUCUCUGAUGGAGGGAAUCGCUAGAGUGAAACCUACUUCUUGAUCCAGACUCAAACAUGGCCAGAAUUUUCUGAGCAUCACAUGGAUGUUUCCUGUGGAGGGGACAUAGACGGUCUGUUCCUGCCUGGUUUCACAGGGACCACUCAACCAGGACUCCCACCUGCUAAGCAGUCAGCCUGGGUUCCUCGUGCCUUGGACAGGAAGCACCAGUUUCCUCAUCUGUACCCUGCUGGGCCUCAGCCCUGCUUGUCUGAUGAGCCAGAGAGAAACCUAGGAGAUGGGGAGAUUUGGGGGCUUCCUGUUCCCACCGUGGGGACUCUGUUGGUCUCCUUCUAGCGAUAACAAAAGAGGAGUUCUCUGCCAGAAGCUAACUGUCCCUUAUGCCAAAGGCCAUGGGCACUGGCUGUCCCAGGCAAUCAUUGCCUCCAGCUGCAUUUGGGACACUCCCCUGUGGGCUGAGAACCAGAGGAAGGCAGAGGCGGCCACGCGGAGUGCUGAGAAAGCCUCUGAACAGGGGCUCGUUGCCUGGGCAGUCUCAGAAGUCACAGUGGCGUCAACUCAUCUCCCCUGCUCUACCGCGGUGGGUGGAGGCAGUGGGGCUGUCGCUGUGAUUCAUCUGAGACACAAUUUGAGGAUGCUGGUGGUGCACCCGGCCGGACACGCUCCCCCGGAACUCCGCCAGCCUAGGGACGCCAGAGGGAGGGUGUCCCUGCAGAGCCUAGGAGUCAGCAUAGCCUGAGUCCAGAAAGGGGAGCUCCCUGGAGGGUCGGCUGGGUGACGCCACAGUGGCAUUCCACCAUUAAUCUUGAUGCUGCAGGUUGGGCCACUUGAGUGACCGGUUUGGCUGUCCCCCCACUCUGAGGCCAGGACCUGGGCCUGAGGCUGGGAGUCCUCUGCACAGUCCUCUCAUGUCAUAGAGUUUGAGCACUACCUGUCAGGACAGUGCCCUGGGUCCUCUCCUCAGUCAUGCCCCUGCUGUCCAUAUGCAGGCAGCCUGUCCUCCCCGGGGCUGGACAGACUGUGCCUCUGCUGGAAUUGGCCUACGGAGGAAGUUGCUCUCAGGGCAUUUGAGAAAGGGGAGUGGGAGGGGAGCCAAAAGGAAGUCACAAAGAUCAGCUUAAAAAUAACCCCCUCCCUGUCAAUCACGAGGAGGAGCUUGCAGAGGAGCCAAGUUCUGCUGGGGAUGGCUUGGCUUAGGACAAUGUCAGAAGGGCCUCAAGGCAAUCAGCAGCCGCUGCACUUGGAGCCUACCCCAAGCUCUUAUCAGCCUAGGCAAGCCCCUGCCCAAAGCCUGCUCUCCUCAGAGACUUCCGCCCCAGCCGGCAUCUGUUUCCUUUCCUAUAUUUAAACAACCGGAGGAGAAUCAAAAGGGAAUCGAAAAGAUGCUGGCCAUUGAGUUUGAGAAAUCCAGCUGCCUUCUCCAGCCUCUGGACACAACAGCUUCAUUGUAUAAAUUCUGUGUCUUGAUUGGGGUAUGCCUUCAACACGUAGCCACGUGGUUUACGACUCCGCUUUGGCCUUUACUGCCUGUCUGUACAGACCAACUGGAGGGCACAGAGAAAAAUAUGAUGUGAGGGACAAAUCCAUAGACAGAAGGAAGCUAUCUGUGGUCAGGAGGAGUUUUCACCGGAAAUCAAAUUUUCUGGCACCUUGAUGUUGAACAUCCAGCCUCAAGAACUGUAAGAAAACAAAU